UUCAAUACCGAGAACUACAUGCAAUGUCAACAGCUUCUUGGACGAUGUCGAAAGCAACUUUUUCAUCCCCCAUAUUCUCUGCGUACCAACCGUCAACAAACGGUAUUUAUUUAUAGCUCCUGACAACUUGUGGUAUUGCUUUAUAACCUCUCGCGCGGAAAUAUUCUUACACGUGUACGAAACCACGGUCAUCUUCGGCGUACCAGGCGUGCUGUCAGAAAUCACACGAAACUUUCAUACUGAAGCAAGUAUAUAUGGCAACAAAAUACCCAAUGUUCCGUUUUCUGGUGGUUGCCAGUUCCCUCUUAGUAAUUUCAGGUUUAUCGGUGAAACGUAAUACGGCCCCCUCUCGCCAACGACGAAGUCAGGUUACUACUAAAGAACAUUCUGCGUGUUCGAUGGAUUGUGGCAGCGAUUCUAAGUACUCCUGUACAGUCACUCAUAAUUGUAGCACAUCGAGUAAUUGUAAACAUUGCGACUGUUCUUGCG
Long non-coding RNA from Dermacentor silvarum, 489 nucleotides. RefSeq lists it as uncharacterized. The record is from RefSeq and is a predicted model, not a curated record. Lineage: Eukaryota; Metazoa; Arthropoda; Arachnida; Ixodida; Ixodidae. The transcript has 4 exons.